RNAcentral lists this ribosomal RNA (253 nucleotides) under uncultured bacterium. Its description in RNAcentral is "partial 16S ribosomal RNA". It matches the Rfam family "Bacterial small subunit ribosomal RNA", at positions 524 to 776 of the family's 1533-position model. The record is from RNAcentral.
UACGUAGGGCGCAAGCGUUGUCCGGAAUUAUUGGGCGUAAAGAGCUCGUAGGCGGCCUGUUACGUCUGCUGUGAAAUCCCGGGGCUUAACCCCGGGCGUGCAGUGGAUACGGGCAGGCUGGAGGCAGGCAGGGGAGAACGGAAUUCCCGGUGUAGCGGUGAAAUGCGCAGAUAUCGGGAGGAACACCGGUGGCGAAGGCGGUUCUCUGGGCCCGUACUGACGCUGAGGAGCGAAAGCGUGGGGAGCGAACAGG